GACGAACGCUGGCGGCGUGCUUAACACAUGCAAGUCGAACGGAAAGGCCCUGCUUUUGUGGGGUGCUCGAGUGGCGAACGGGUGAGUAACACGUGAGUAACCUGCCCUUGACAUUGGGAUAACUUCAGGAAACUGGGGCUAAUACCGGAUAGGAGCUCCUGCUGCAUGGUGGGGGUUGGAAAGUUUCGGCGGUUGGGGAUGGACUCGCGGCUUAUCAGCUUGUUGGUGGGGUAGUGGCUUACCAAGGCUUUGACGGGUAGCCGGCCUGAGAGGGGGACCGGCCACAUUGGGACUGAGGUACGGCGCAGUCUGCUACGGGAGGCAGAAGGGGGGAGUAUUGCAGAAUGGGGGGAAGUCUGAUGCGGCAGCGCCGCGUGCGGAAAGACGGCCUUCGGGUUGUGAACCGCUUUCGCCGGUAACAAGGCGUGAGUGACGGUAAUGGGUCAAGAAGCACCGGCUAACUACGUG
RNAcentral lists this ribosomal RNA (468 nucleotides) under uncultured bacterium. Its description in RNAcentral is "partial 16S ribosomal RNA". It matches the Rfam family "Bacterial small subunit ribosomal RNA", at positions 28 to 507 of the family's 1533-position model. The record is from RNAcentral.